CCUACGGGUGGCAGCAGUGAGGAAUAUUGGUCAAUGGACGAGAGUCUGAACCAGCCAAGUAGCGUGAAGGAUGACUGCCCUAUGGGUUGUAAACUUCUUUUAUAUGGGAAUAAAACGUUCCUCGUGUGGCAUUUUGUAUGUACCAUAUGAAUAAGGAUCGGCUAACUCCGUGCCAGCAGCCGCGGGAAUACGGAGGAUCCGCGCGUUAUCCGGAUUUAUUGGGUUUAAAGGGAGCGUAGGUGGAUUGUUAAGUCAGUUGUGAAAGUUUGCGGCUCAACCGUAAAAUUGCAGUUGAAACUGGCAGUCUUGAGUACAGUAGGGGUGGGCGGAAUUCGUGGUGUAGCGGUGAAAUGCUUAGAUAUCACGAAGAACUCCGAUUGCGAAGGUAGUUGACCGGACUGCAACUGACACUGAGGCUCGAAAGUGUGGGUAUCAAACAGGAUUAGAUACCCCGGUAGUC
RNAcentral lists this ribosomal RNA (460 nucleotides) under uncultured bacterium. RNAcentral describes it as "partial 16S ribosomal RNA". It matches the Rfam family "Bacterial small subunit ribosomal RNA", at positions 338 to 795 of the family's 1533-position model. The record is from RNAcentral.